This 424-nucleotide long non-coding RNA is filed under the name Bos taurus (domestic cattle). RNAcentral describes it as "long non-coding RNA NONBTAT002689". Lineage: Eukaryota; Metazoa; Chordata; Mammalia; Artiodactyla; Bovidae. The record is from RNAcentral.
UUUUACUGUAAAGGAACAAAAUGGGAUGAACAUAGCUGCUCUUGUGUUUAAUAUAGUGACCCAAGCAUAUAUUGUGCCUAAAUUUUAGGCCUGUUAGUUCACAGCAGUAUAAAAGAAGUAAUCUGAAUGAAUGAAUUAGCAUAAAUGAAUUAGAUACCUCUAAUUUACAAGUAGCGUCUCUACCUGUAAAAUUUCUAAGUCUAAAAUACAGUGACCCUGUGAAAAGACUUAAGUAUAUGUGUGCCUUUUUUAGCUUAGAUGAGUUAAAAUGUAAUGCUAAUGCAUCCAGGGUUGCAAUUUAUAAAGCCAGCUUAACAACUGUUCUAUGAUUAUAGACUGUAAACUAAUCCUGAGUAUCUUAUUGCAGAUAUGUAUGCAGAGGAAGGACUGAGGAAGGAUGUGUUGAUGGUUCAAAAUAAAUCUA